Molecule: ribosomal RNA, 493 nt
Filed under: uncultured bacterium
Lineage: Bacteria
Description: bacterial SSU rRNA
Rfam family: Bacterial small subunit ribosomal RNA
Source: RNAcentral
GGCGGCAGGCCUAAUACAUGCAAGUCGUACGAGAAAGCCGGCUUCGGCUGGUGAGUAAAGUGGCGCACGGGUGAGUAACGCGUGGAUAAUCUGCCCUUAAGUGUGGAAUAACGUACCGAAAGGUGCGCUAAUACCGCAUAAUGCCUGGCAACACAAGUUGUCCGGCCAAAGAAGGCCUCUGUUUACAAGCUUUCGCUUCAGGAUGAGUCCGCGUACCAUUAGCUUGUUGGUGGGGUAAUGGCCUACCAAGGCUGCGAUGGUUAGCUGGUCUGAGAGGAUGAUCAGCCACACUGGAACUGAGACACGGUCCAGACUCCUACGGGAGGCAGCAGUGAGGAAUAUUGCGCAAUGGGGGCAACCCUGACGCAGCAACGCCGCGUGAGUGAGGAAGGUUUUCGGACCGUAAAGCUCUGUCGAGUGGGAAGAAGUGUAUCAUGGCUAAUAUCCGUGAUAUUUGACGGUACCGCUAGAGGAAGCACCGGCUAACUCCGUG